GAGAUUAUGGAAGCUAGUG
This 19-nucleotide small nuclear RNA is filed under the name Arabidopsis thaliana (thale cress). RNAcentral describes it as "snRNA_02214". Lineage: Eukaryota; Viridiplantae; Streptophyta; Magnoliopsida; Brassicales; Brassicaceae. The record is from RNAcentral.